Molecule: ribosomal RNA, 253 nt
Filed under: uncultured bacterium
Lineage: Bacteria
Description: partial 16S ribosomal RNA
Rfam family: Bacterial small subunit ribosomal RNA
Source: RNAcentral
UACGUAGGGUGCGAGCGUUAAUCGGAAUUACUGGGCGUAAAGCGGGCGCAGACGGUUCGUUAAGCAAGAUGUGAAAUCCCCGGGCUCAACCUGGGAACUGCGUUUUGAACUGGCGGACUAGAGUGUGUCAGAGGGGGGUAGAAUUCCACGUGUAGCAGUGAAAUGCGUAGAGAUCUGGAGGAAUACCGGUGGCGAAGGCGGCCCCCUGGACGAAGACUGACGCUCAGGUGCGAAAGCGUGGGGAGCAAACAGG